This 497-nucleotide ribosomal RNA is filed under the name uncultured bacterium. RNAcentral's name for it is "partial 16S ribosomal RNA". It matches the Rfam family "Bacterial small subunit ribosomal RNA", at positions 28 to 507 of the family's 1533-position model. The record is from RNAcentral.
GACGAACGCUGGCGGCGUGCCUAAUACAUGCCAGUAGAACGCUGAAGCGAGGAGCUUACUCUUCUUGGAUGAGUUGCGAACGGGUGAGUAACGCGUAGGUAACCUGCCUUGUAGCGGGGGAUAACUAUUGGAAACGAUAGCUAAUACCGCAUAACAAUGGAUGACACAUGUCAUUUAUUUGAAAGGGGCAAUUGCUCCACUACAAGAUGGACCUGCGUUGUAUUAGCUAGUAGGUGAGGUAAUGGCUCACCUAGGCGACGAUACAUAGCCGACCUGAGAGGGUGAUCAGCCACACUGGGACUGAGACACGGCCCAGACUCCUACGGGAGGCAGCAGUAGGGAAUCUUCGGCAAUGGGGGCAACCCUGACCGAGCAACGCCGCGUGAGUGAAGAAGGUUUUCGGAUCGUAAAGCUCUGUUGUAAGUCAAGAACGGGUGUGAGAGUGGAAAGUUCACACUGUGACGGUAGCUUACCAGAAAGGGACGGCUAACUACGUG